AUACGGAGGGUGCGAGCGUUGUUCGGAAUUAUUGGGCGUAAAGCGCGUGUAGGCGGUCUUUUAAGUCUGAUGUGAAAGCCCCGGGCUCAACCCGGGAAGUGCAUUGGAUACUGGGAGACUUGAAUACGGGAGAGGGUAGUGGAAUUCCCAGUGUAGGAGUGAAAUCCGUAGAUAUUGGGAGGAACACCGGUGGCGAAGGCGGCUGCCUGGACCGAUACUGACGCUGAGACGCGAAAGCGUGGGGAGC
This 247-nucleotide ribosomal RNA is filed under the name uncultured bacterium. Its description in RNAcentral is "partial 16S ribosomal RNA". It matches the Rfam family "Bacterial small subunit ribosomal RNA", at positions 523 to 769 of the family's 1533-position model. The record is from RNAcentral.